Molecule: transfer RNA, 77 nt
Filed under: Gammaproteobacteria bacterium
Lineage: Bacteria; Pseudomonadati; Pseudomonadota; Gammaproteobacteria
Also listed under: 1 other name
Description: tRNA-Arg
Rfam family: tRNA
About the family: Transfer RNA (tRNA) molecules are approximately 80 nucleotides in length. Their secondary structure includes four short double-helical elements and three loops (D, anti-codon, and T loops).
Source: RNAcentral
GCCCCGGUAGCUCAGCUGGAUAGAGCAAGCGCCUCCUAAGCGCUAGGUCGGACGUUCGAAUCGUCUCCGGGGCACCA